This 72-nucleotide transfer RNA is filed under the name Phycisphaera sp. RNAcentral describes it as "tRNA-Gln". It matches the Rfam family "tRNA". From Rfam's summary of the family: Transfer RNA (tRNA) molecules are approximately 80 nucleotides in length. Their secondary structure includes four short double-helical elements and three loops (D, anti-codon, and T loops). Lineage: Bacteria; Pseudomonadati; Planctomycetota; Phycisphaerae; Phycisphaerales; Phycisphaeraceae. The record is from RNAcentral.
CAGGGUGUAGCUCAACGGUAGAGCAUCCGAUUUUGGAUCGGAGGGUUGGGGGUUCGACUCCCCCCGCCAAUU